This 1014-nucleotide ribosomal RNA is filed under the name Triticum aestivum (bread wheat). Its description in RNAcentral is "partial small subunit ribosomal RNA". The record is from RNAcentral. Lineage: Eukaryota; Viridiplantae; Streptophyta; Magnoliopsida; Poales; Poaceae.
AUGCUACUAGAGAAUCCACAGACCACACACCUGAACACACACACAAAAAAGCUGCCUUUGAUGGCCACCAAGGCCCCGAGCUGCUCCACCCGCUUCAGAUCUCCGGCCAGCGCCGUUUGGUUCCUGCCGGCCGCCGUCUUCAUCCUCCUGCUCCUCCUUCUGCGCCGCCCGACCAUGGACCCCUAUGCUCCCGCUUCUCCUCGUGGUCCCGUGUCUUCCCGGCGCGCCGAUCUGUACGGCAGGAUGGCUCGGGACCUUGAUGAGCGCGGCGCGGCGUUCUUGAAGGGCGGCGAGACGUCGCAGUCCCUCACGCUCUCGGACCUCUUCGACGUCAGGGACGGCGCCGUCGUGCCCAAGCUCAAGGCCGCCGACCCGCCGGUGCGUGCAAACGUGCUCUACCUGGAGCCGGUGUUCGCCGCCGAGAUAGCGAAGGCUGUGAAGGAAGUAUUUCUUCCUUAUUUUGAUAAAGCUAUCUGGUUCCAAAAUUUGAGCAUGUAUCACUUCAGUAUGUUUCAUGCCUCCCAUCAUCUGGAGCCAAUCUUAGCAACCAAGGAUGAGAUUGAAGCCGAAGUCGAUGCUGUAAAAGGAGUUACUGAGGCUGUUUGUCCCCUUAAAAUUUCCUUGGAUCGAGUGGUUUUGACGUCAACUGGAGUUCUUCUUGGCCUGUGGCAGGUUGAAUCUGGUACUGAUCCUGCCGACAUCCGCUCAAAAUUGAGAGAAGCUCUACCUCGAGCACCCCAAAAGCAGUUGUAUGAUCCUGUUCUCCUCCACACAUCCUUUGCGCGAAUUCUGGGACCUCCUAAGCUCCCACAACAGGAGGACACAUCAUCUUUCAGUCACAUCAAAUUCUUCCAUGACCUCGUUGCACAGGUUAAUGGGAAAAUCCGUGGCUUCCAGGCAAAGGUAUCAGAGCUGUGGUAUGUAGAGGAGUACGAUGUGCUAGCCCUAGCACUGAAUGGAAAGAUGAGAGUGCGGAGGCUCCACCUUGGCUGCAAUGAGGGCCAAGAUAACUGA